UCCCAGCCGUAAACGAUGCUCGCUAGGUGUCAGGCGCGGUGCGACCGCGUUUGGUGCCGCAGUGAAAACCUGAAGCGAGCCACCUGGGAAGUACGGUCGCAAGGCUGAAACUUAAAGGAAUUGGCGGGGGAGCACUACAACGGGUGGAGCCUGCGGUUCAAUUGGAUUCAACGCCGGAAAGCUUACCGGGUCAGACAGCAACAUGAAGGUCAAGCUGAAGACUUUACCGGAUU
RNAcentral lists this ribosomal RNA (233 nucleotides) under uncultured bacterium. RNAcentral describes it as "partial 16S ribosomal RNA". It matches the Rfam family "Archaeal small subunit ribosomal RNA", at positions 745 to 977 of the family's 1478-position model. The record is from RNAcentral.